UAGGGAAUCUUGGACAAUGGGGGAAACCCUGAUCCAGCCAUGCCGCGUGAGUGACGAAGGCCCUAGGGUCGUAAAGCUCUUUCGCUGGGGAAGAUAAUGACGGUACCCAGUAAAGAAGUCCCGGCUACUCCGUGCCAGCAGCCGCCGUAAUACGGAGGGGACUAGCGUUGUUCGGAAUUUCUGGGCGUAAAGCGCGCGUAGGCGGACUGUUAAGUCGCGGGUGAAAUCCCGGGGCUCAACCCCGGAACUGCCUUCGAUACUGGCAGUCUUGAGUUCGAGAGAGGUGAUUGGAAUUCCGAGUGUAGAGGUGAAAUUCGUAGAUAUUCGGAGGAACACCAGUGGCGAAGGCGGCUCCCUGGCUCGAUACUGACGCUGAGGUGCGAAAGCGUGGGGAGCAAACAGGAUUAGAUACCCCCGUAGUCC
RNAcentral lists this ribosomal RNA (423 nucleotides) under uncultured prokaryote. RNAcentral describes it as "bacterial SSU rRNA". It matches the Rfam family "Bacterial small subunit ribosomal RNA", at positions 355 to 796 of the family's 1533-position model. The record is from RNAcentral.